UCAGAACCAGCUCUGGGCUCCUAGUGCGCUCUGGGUAUCCAUCUGGUUUGGGGGCUAUUUUGAUCCACCGGAUGCAGAGCAGCCGCCGAGAUCUGGGACUGGGUGGCUAGAGCGGCGCCUUUAUCUACAGAAGGACAAUUUAAAAACUAACGUCAAGCCCAGAGAACAAAUAAAUAAAUUCCUCUUUCUGUUCAUAAUGCUCUCUCUGCCUGUUUCUACAGGAGAAGUUCUGCUCUCUCUCACACUGCUGGUUGAGAAGUGGCUCUCAGCUACCCAAGGUGCAGAGCAGCUAGGAGGGACUAGGGUAAGAAGGAGGAGAGAGGAUGCUUUGUCUUCCUUCUCUCCCU
RNAcentral lists this long non-coding RNA (347 nucleotides) under Mus spretus (western wild mouse). RNAcentral's name for it is "predicted gene 28215 (ENSMSPG00010011211.1)". Lineage: Eukaryota; Metazoa; Chordata; Mammalia; Rodentia; Muridae. The record is from RNAcentral.